Cinara cedri is the source of this 666-nucleotide non-coding RNA. The record is from the annotation of a GenBank genome assembly. Lineage: Eukaryota; Metazoa; Arthropoda; Insecta; Hemiptera; Aphididae.
AUACCAUAUUUACCAAUUGAAAUUCCAUUGAAGAAGUUAAAAUUAUUUUUCCUCUGACCUAUUCCACGUAGUUUUCCAAAACAAAUCGAGGGAUUAUUAUUGCGAGUAAGUUUCCUCUUGAAUGAAGAUAGCCGAAGUCAUCAAACAAAGAAAUACUGAAAUAUUUGUAGUUAUUUUAAUGAUUAAUUGUUUACCUUUUCAGUUAUAUAUAGAAAAAACCGGAAACUACAUUCUUGAUUCUUAUUUUUGUAAAUCUAAUUUCUGGAACAUUAUAAUAUACUUACGUCCUAAUAUACUUAAUAAUGAUAAUAAUCGGAAUAAACAUACAAACUUCAAAAUUGUUAUACAUAUACCUAUAUUGAAUAUGUUUCUUACUGAAUACGAACGUAGCAAGUAUUAGUGUCUACCUAAAAUUAAUAAACGAAAAAAUUCUGGGUUGGAACGUAUAAUACAGUAAAGUAUAGAACACGUAGUAUACGUAUGUAUAAAACUAUUUGUUGUAUACGUUUUAUACCAUAUACAAUUUUUUUUUUUUUUUGCUGCAACUGAACAGAAAUUAUUAGGUAAAAUAAUUGUCAAUUGAAUUUAAUCAUUAUUUUAUGUAUCUUAUAUUAAUUACCUCAGACAUAUGUGAUAAUUUGUUAUAUUUAUUACUAAGUUCAUCUU